Molecule: ribosomal RNA, 512 nt
Filed under: uncultured bacterium
Lineage: Bacteria
Description: bacterial SSU rRNA
Rfam family: Bacterial small subunit ribosomal RNA
Source: RNAcentral
CGCUGGCGGCGUGCCUAAUACAUGCAAGUCGAACGGUCUUUCUAUGGAAGCUUGCUUCCACUGAGAAGAUAGUGGCGAACGGGUGAGUAACACGUGGGUAACCUGCCCAUAAGAGGGGGGAUAACAUCCGGAAACGGGUGCUAAUACCGCAUAGUUUUCUUGAUCGCAUGAUUGAGAAAGGAAAGACGGCCUUUGUGCUGUCGCUUAUGGAUGGACCCGCGGCGUAUUAGUUAGUUGGUGAGGUAAUGGCUCACCAAGACGAUGAUACGUAGCCGACCUGAGAGGGUGAUCGGCCACAUUGGGACUGAGACACGGCCCAAACUCCUACGGGAGGCAGCAGUAGGGAAUCUUCCGCAAUGGACGAAAGUCUGACGGAGCAACGCCGCGUGAGUGAAAGAAGGUUUUCGGAUCGUAAAACUCUGUUGUCAGAGAAGAACAAGUUGGAGAGUAACUGCUCCAGCCUUGACGGUAUCCGACCAGAAAGCCACGGCUAACUACGUGCCAGCAGCCGC